RNAcentral lists this ribosomal RNA (497 nucleotides) under uncultured bacterium. RNAcentral describes it as "partial 16S ribosomal RNA". It matches the Rfam family "Bacterial small subunit ribosomal RNA", at positions 28 to 507 of the family's 1533-position model. The record is from RNAcentral.
GAUGAACGCUGGCGGCGUGCCUAAUACAUGCAAGUCGAGCGAACGGACGAGAAGCUUGCUUCUCUGAUGUUGGCGGCGGACGGGUGAGUAACACGUGGAUAACCUACCUAUAAGACUGGGAUAACUUCGGGAAACCGGAGCUAAUACCGGAUAAUAUAUUGAACCGCAUGGUUCAAAAGUGAAAGACGGUCUUGCUGUCACUUAUAGAUGGAUCCGCGCUGCAUUAGCUAGUUGGUAAGGUAACGGCUUACCAAGGCAACGAUGCAUAGCCGACCUGAGAGGGUGAUCGGCCACCCUGGAACUGAGACACGGUCCAGACUCCUACGGGAGGCAGCAGUAGGGAAUCUUCCGCAAUGGGCGAAAGCCUGACGGAGCAACGCCGCGUGAGUGAUGAAGGUCUUCGGAUCGUAAAACUCUGUUAUUAGGGAAGAACAUAUGUGUAAGUAACUGUGCACAUCUUGACGGUACCUAAUCAGAAAGCCACGGCUAACUACGUG